UACGUAGGGGGCAAGCGUUGUCCGGAUUUAUUGGGCGUAAAGAGCGUGUAGGCGGCCUUACAGGUCAGCUGUGAAAACUCGAGGCUCAACCUCGAGACGUCGGUUGAAACCGUAAGGCUAGAGUCCGGAAGAGGAGAGUGGAAUUCCCGGUGUAGCGGUGAAAUGCGCAGAUAUCGGGAAGAACACCCGUGGCGAAGGCGGCUCUCUGGG
RNAcentral lists this ribosomal RNA (210 nucleotides) under uncultured bacterium. RNAcentral describes it as "partial 16S ribosomal RNA". It matches the Rfam family "Bacterial small subunit ribosomal RNA", at positions 524 to 733 of the family's 1533-position model. The record is from RNAcentral.